GGGGCUAUAGCUCAGCUGGCUAGAGCGCUUCGCUGGCAGCGAAGAGGCCUGCGGUUCGAAUCCGCAUAGCUCCACCA
This 77-nucleotide transfer RNA is filed under the name Candidatus Saccharimonadota bacterium. RNAcentral describes it as "tRNA-Ala". It matches the Rfam family "tRNA". From Rfam's summary of the family: Transfer RNA (tRNA) molecules are approximately 80 nucleotides in length. Their secondary structure includes four short double-helical elements and three loops (D, anti-codon, and T loops). The record is from RNAcentral. Lineage: Bacteria; Candidatus Saccharimonadota.